GUAGGUGGCAAGCGUUGUCCGGAAUUAUUGGGCGUAAAGCGCGCGCAGGCGGUUCUUUAAGUCUGAUGUGAAAGCCCACGGCUCAACCGUGGAGGGUCAUUGGAAACUGGAGAACUUGAGUACAGAAGAGGAAAGCGGAAUUCCACGUGUAGCGGUGAAAUGCGUAGAGAUGUGGAGGAACACCAGUGGCGAAGGCGGCUUUCUGGUCUGUAACUGACGCUGAGGCGCGAAAGCGUGGGGAGCAAACAGGGAUUGGAUACCCUGGUAGUCCACGCCGUAAACGAUGAGUGCUAAGUGUUAGGGGGUUUCCGCCCCCUUAGUGCUGCAGCUAACGCAUUAAGCACUCCGCCUGGGGAUACGGCCGCAAGGCUG
This 372-nucleotide ribosomal RNA is filed under the name uncultured organism. Its description in RNAcentral is "partial 16S ribosomal RNA". It matches the Rfam family "Bacterial small subunit ribosomal RNA", at positions 527 to 896 of the family's 1533-position model. The record is from RNAcentral.